GAUGAACGCUGGCGGCGUGCUUAACACAUGCAAGUCGAACGGGAAUUACUUUAUUGAAACUUCGGUCGAUUUAAUUUAAUUCUAGUGGCGGACGGGUGAGUAACGCGUGGGUAACCUGCCUUAUACAGGGGGAUAACAGUCAGAAAUGGCUGCUAAUACCGCAUAAGCGCACAGAGCUGCAUGGCUCGGUGUGAAAAACUCCGGUGGUAUAAGAUGGACCCGCGUUGGAUUAGCUUGUUGGUGGGGUAACGGCCCACCAAGGCGACGAUCCAUAGCCGGCCUGAGAGGGUGAACGGCCACAUUGGGACUGAGACACGGCCCAGACUCCUACGGGAGGCAGCAGUGGGGAAUAUUGCACAAUGGGGGAAACCCUGAUGCAGCGACGCCGCGUGAAGGAAGAAGUAUCUCGGUAUGUAAACUUCUAUCAGCAGGGAAGAUAGUGACGGUACCUGACUAAGAAGCCCCGGCUAACUACGUG
Molecule: ribosomal RNA, 478 nt
Filed under: uncultured bacterium
Lineage: Bacteria
Description: partial 16S ribosomal RNA
Rfam family: Bacterial small subunit ribosomal RNA
Source: RNAcentral